AAAAUCAGUUCUAAUAUGUUUCUCGUGAAGCCCAUAUCAUCUAACACAUUUCAUUGAUAGCAUUUUGAAUAGGACACGAAUGCCAUACAGAUGGUAAAGUGUUUUUAAAUAAAAUUAUAAUAAUAACAGCAUUUUGAAGCUAAGCAGAAGCCGCUAUCUUGGAUUUCAAGAUGGCUUCGGAUAAAGAAAUUCAAAUUCUACACGUUGAGCCCUUUCACUCAAUACCCAUAAUGUGUGGGUUUCAUACAUUUUUCAGUCAUUUACUGCAUUUUGAAGAUAAGCGGAAGUCGCCAUCUUUGAUUCCAAGAUGGCGUUGGAUGUAGAAAUUCGACUUCUACUCGUUGAGCCCUUUCACCCAAUACCCACAUUGUAAGGGUUCAUACAUUUUUCAGUAAUUUACUGCAUUUUGAAGUAAUUCGAAAGCCGUCAUCUUGGAUUUCAAGAUGGCAUCGGAUGACGAAAUUCGACUUCUAUUUGAUGAGCCCUUUCACCCAAUACCCAUGUUGUGUGGGUUUCAUACAUUUUUCAGUAAUUUGCAGAAUUUUAAAGUUUGGCAGAAGCCGCCAUCUUGGAUUCCAAGAUGGCGUCGGAUGAAUAAAUUCGACUUCUACUCUUAAGCCCUUUCAUCCAAUACCCAUAUUGUGUGGGUUUCAUACAUUUUUCAGUCAUUUACAGCAUUUUUAAGCUAAAUUGAGUGUUGCACUUAAGUUUAUAGUUACUUUAGAAGUGUUUAAAAAGUCAAUACGAUACGAGCGAAUGGCAAUAAAAACACAUAAAACCCAUCCCCAUGCUGAGUAAAAUCAGCGUGUAAUAAAUAUGAAACCAAGAUAGGUUGAAAUGCACCAAGCGUGCAGGUUUGGGUUAAAAGCACCCAAUUCGGUGGAAACCAAACCGGGCGUGGAGGAAGCUGUCAAAACCGGCCACGCCAUUGGGAUUGGGCCUGCUAAAAAGAAUAAAGCUUGCUCUUUACUCUUACACAGAUUUCCAUAAGAAUGACAGUUAAUCGGAGUGAAAUUGGAGUGAAGGCUAUUGCUUUCUCUGUUUAACACACGAGAAAUCGUAUACCGGGAUUGCGAUCGCGCCCAGCGCCCAUUGUGCUGCAAAAUUUUGGCGUGACGCGGUCGGAAAAAUUUAAGUGCCCGGAAAUUGGCCGCAAGUGUCGGACAGAAACGCGGGUUUUCACGCGCUGCGUUCUGGAGUGGAAUUGGGACGUCGACCAGCAUCGCCCACGGACCCAGGGACGAGCAAGCCGCUCAAAUCGCCGUUCGUGGUCGCUCGUACCUAUAGCCGACCAAGCGGUCAUCAGCUCGGCAAUCCAAGAGGUAGGAUUUCCUGAUUUUAAAAGCGAACGCUUACGCUCUUUUCCAUUCCGUAGGAAAAGGAACGACCGAACGAGCCAGUUUCGCAGAGGUUCGCUAAUAGCUCUCGAGAAGGCCGCACACUUGCGGCCCCUUUUCGGAGAUUGGGAGAGAUGAGAUCUCAUCUCUGGCACCAAACCUUCGGAAACAACACCGCAGCCCCCUGAUAGACCCCAGGAGCACUCGCCGUGCUGUCAAUCGGCGCUCCAGGUCACCGAGCAGCCGAACAUCGAGGUAGAGGUACCUAAGGAGCUACCAAGGCAGUGCUCUGAACGCAGAACAGUGGAGCGGUUCCAUCAGCAGUACCAGGCGGUGCAAAACCCGCAAGAUAGUCCGCAGGCGGCGUUCGGAUCAGUGGGCAGCAGAGCAGAGAAGAAGCACAGCGGUGCUACUCGAUCGGUGCGCAGUGGAGGUGAAUUGAGCAGUGGCGGAUGCAGUUUCGCUUGCCGCUAAACGGUGCUCUGGCCACAGCCAGCGGAAGCUGGAUGAACACAGCUGGCAUGCUGAGGCAGGACCGGAAAAGCACCGAACAGAGGAGGUCCGAGCAGGCGUUCUGUGAAGCGGUGAGUACACGCUGAUUGGGGAA
Molecule: long non-coding RNA, 1944 nt
Organism: Uranotaenia lowii
Lineage: Eukaryota; Metazoa; Arthropoda; Insecta; Diptera; Culicidae
Exons: 3
Source: RefSeq, a predicted model, not a curated record